GGGCUCGUAGCUCAGUGGUAGAGCGCUACUCUUAUAAAGUAGAUGUCGAUGGUUCGAAUCCAUCCGGGCCCACCA
Molecule: transfer RNA, 75 nt
Filed under: Candidatus Woykebacteria bacterium RIFCSPHIGHO2_01_FULL_43_29
Lineage: Bacteria; Candidatus Woykeibacteriota
Also listed under: 3 other names
Description: tRNA-Ile
Rfam family: tRNA
About the family: Transfer RNA (tRNA) molecules are approximately 80 nucleotides in length. Their secondary structure includes four short double-helical elements and three loops (D, anti-codon, and T loops).
Source: RNAcentral